RNAcentral lists this ribosomal RNA (254 nucleotides) under uncultured bacterium. RNAcentral's name for it is "partial 16S ribosomal RNA". It matches the Rfam family "Bacterial small subunit ribosomal RNA", at positions 524 to 776 of the family's 1533-position model. The record is from RNAcentral.
UACGAAUGUGGCUAGCGUUGUUCGGAAUCACUGGGCAUAAAGCGCACGUAGGCGGCGCAGUAAGUUAAUUUGUGAAAUCCCCCGGCUUAACCGGGGAAUUGCGGUUAAUACUGCUGUGCUCGAGUACGGAAGGGGAGAGUGGAACUCUUGGUGUAGCGGUGGAAUGCGAAGAUAUCAAGGGGAAGGCCGGUAGCGAAAGCGACUCUCUGGUCCGAUACUGACGCUGAGGUGCGAAAGCGUAGGUAGCGAACGGG